RNAcentral lists this transfer RNA (74 nucleotides) under Treponema sp. RNAcentral describes it as "tRNA-Ile2(cat)". It matches the Rfam family "tRNA". Rfam says of the family: Transfer RNA (tRNA) molecules are approximately 80 nucleotides in length. Their secondary structure includes four short double-helical elements and three loops (D, anti-codon, and T loops). RNAcentral also lists the same sequence under 4 other names. The record is from RNAcentral. Lineage: Bacteria; Pseudomonadati; Spirochaetota; Spirochaetia; Treponematales; Treponemataceae.
GGGCCAUUAGCUCAGUCGGUUAGAGCAGAGGACUCAUAAUCCUUUGGUCGUUUGUUCAAGUCAAACAUGGCCCA